UGCAGUCGAGCGGUACAGGGGGAGCUUGCUCCCUGCUGACGAGCGGCGGACGGGUGAGUAAUGCUUAGGAAUCUGCCUGGUAGUGGGGGAUAGCCCGGGGAAACCCGGAUUAAUACCGCAUACGCCCUACCGGGGAAAGCAGGGGAUCUUCGGACCUUGCGCUAUUGGAUGAGCCUAAGUCGGAUUAGCUAGUUGGUGGGGUAAAGGCCUACCAAGGCGACGAUCCGUAGCUGGGCUGAGAGGAUGAUCAGCCACAUCGGGACUGAGACACGGCCCGAACUCCUACGGGAGGCAGCAGUGGGGAAUAUUGGACAAUGGGGGCAACCCUGAUCCAGCCAUGCCGCGUGUGUGAAGAAGGCUUUCGGGUUGUAAAGCACUUUCAGCGAGGAGGAAGGCUCAAAGGUUAAUACCCUUUGGGAUUGACGUUACUCGCACAAGAAGCACCGGCUAACUCCGUGCCAGCAGCCGCGGUAAUACGGAGGGUGCAAGCGUUAAUCGGAAUUACUGGGCGUAAAGCGCGCGUAGGUGGUUUGAUAAGCGAGAUGUGAAAGCCUCGGGCUUAACCUGGGAACGGCAUUUCGAACUGUCAGACUAGAGUGUGGUAGAGGGGAGUGGAAUUUCCUGUGUAGCGGUGAAAUGCGUAGAUAUAGGAAAG
Molecule: ribosomal RNA, 655 nt
Filed under: Marinobacter lipolyticus
Lineage: Bacteria; Pseudomonadati; Pseudomonadota; Gammaproteobacteria; Pseudomonadales; Marinobacteraceae
Description: bacterial SSU rRNA
Rfam family: Bacterial small subunit ribosomal RNA
Source: RNAcentral